AUGUUUAAGAAAAACAAGAGGAAAUCACAGGAGCGAAAAAUAUCCAAGAAAAACAACAGCAAAGAAAGGAAGACUUCUCGGGAUCAAAAUUCAGAAAGCCAAAGGACAACUCCCUUCUUUCCACAGAAUUGAAAACUUUUUUCUCCAGAGGUUGGCAGGAUAGUGUGGGCCAUUUACUUUGUUGUGAUUUGACAGGAACAGCAUUCAGAGUCGGUGAUUGGUAUCUUUUGACGGCCUUUCACAUAAUUGAAAGCACAUUGGGUGCGUGCUUGAAAAUGAUAAUAGAAAAUGCCCAGUGUGACCCAAAUCGUGGAAACAACUAUCUGUAUCUAUUGCAAGUUUUGGAAGUGAAAGGGUCUGGAUCAGGGGUUGAGAUGAUGAUAGAGAAUGGAAUUAAAGAGUGGAUUACAAAA
Long non-coding RNA from Saccostrea echinata, 413 nucleotides. RefSeq lists it as uncharacterized. The transcript has 3 exons. The record is from RefSeq and is a predicted model, not a curated record. NCBI's taxonomy places the organism in Eukaryota, Metazoa, Mollusca, Bivalvia, Ostreida, Ostreidae.